GGCUCUCACUCCACACUUUCUCUCUCCUAGGGUUUUUCUCUCUCCUCCUCCAAGUUCGGGAUCCUCGAGAUCGGCUCAUGGCCGCCGUGGCAACAGUCACUGAGAAUGCGACGGAGUUGAUGGGUAAGUUGGCUCUAGAUACUAAGAGCAAGCCCCAUGCUGCUCUGGAUAAUACUAAGAAGACUGGGCUAAACCAGCCGUAUGAGCGAUCUCUAACUCCAUUACUUCAGGAGUAUAUGGACUCGAACAAUAUGUGCUACAUGCCUACCGGAUACCCAUCGACCACAUAUUACUAUGAUGGUUAUAAUGGGUCCGGAAAUGAAUGGGAGAAUUACUCUAGAUACGUCACAGCGGAAGGAGUGGAGAUGCCGCCUCCUGGACAUUAUGAGGAUAUGUAUCACCAAGGAUAUGGCUAUGCACCUUAUGGUGUAUACCCUUCUCCUGGUUCCCCAAUUCCAACCAUGGGGCAUGAUGGCCAGAUAUACGGCCCUCAGCACUACCAGUAUCCCGCUACAUACUACCAACCUUCGACUACUGCAGUUACACAGUACGCUCCUAAUCUGGCCCCUCCUCAAGGAGAAGUUUCUACCUCUACUGCACCGGUCCAUCCAACUAUUUCUGUAGAGACCGUCAAACCAAAACUGAAUGAAAUUCCCAAUGGGAACCCAAAUGGGAACAGUGGACCAGCACCACCAAAGCCUGGCCAACAUAAUCCAUCGUUGUCCUUGAAUGGCUUGUACGGCCGAGGUGUGUUAUCCACUGGCCAUCUUUCUUCGAAUUACCAUGAUCCAAGAUACACUUUUGAUGGUGUCCGGUCACCUGUUCCAUGGUUUGAUGGAUCUGUGCUUGGUAACGGCCAGUAUAGACAGGGCAAUACAGGCGCCAUAUCUUCUCCAGUGUCACAUACCAAUAACUCUUCGUGUGCAAGAAGUCCAAAUCUCCGGCCCCUGCAACAUGGCACGGGUGUGCGAACUGCGAGACCAACCUCUGGGGUAGCGCCCACAUCUCCGGGAAUUAUGAACAGGAUGUAUCCGAACAACCAGAUGUACACCCAGUAUGGAAACGCUUACAGAACUGGCCUGGGGAUUGGACCAAACUUUUAUGAUCCCAGAGCAAUUGGACGCUGGGGUAUUGCUGUCGACAACAAGUACAGACCUAGGGGCCGAGGCAAUGGUUUGUAUGGUUAUAACAAUGAAAAUUUGGAUGGGUUGAGUGAGUUAAACAGAGGACCAAGAGCUGGCCGCUUCAAGACCCCGAAAGUGGCUGGACCCACUGUUACCAUUGGUGACAAGGAUCAUAGUGCAGUACCUGAUAAGGAUCAGUACAACCGAGCAGACUUCGUUGAAAAUUUUCCGGAUGCCAAGUUUUUCAUCAUUAAAUCGUAUAGCGAGGAUGAUCUUCACAAGAGCAUUAAGUAUAAUGUCUGGGCCAGCACACCUAAUGGGAACAUCAAGCUAGAUGCUGCUUACAAGGAAGCUCAACAGAAGCCAGUUGCUUGCCCAGUGUUCUUGUUUUUCUCUGUGAACACAAGCGGGCAGUUUGUUGGUGCGGCUGAGAUGGUGGGUCCAGUUGAUUUCGACAAGACUGUCAACUAUUGGCAGCAAGACAAGUGGACUGGUUGUUUCCCUGUCAAGUGGCAUAUUGUAAAGGAUGUGCCUAACAACCUUCUCAAGCACAUCACGCUAGAGAAUAAUGACAAUAAGCCUGUGACGAAUAGUCGAGAUACGCAGGAGGUGAAGCUCGACCAAGGCCUUCAAAUGCUCAAGUUGUUUAAAGAACAUGCCAGUAGGACUUCAAUAUUGGAAGACUUUCACUUCUAUGAAACCCGGCAAAAGGCGAUGCAGGAGAAAAGGGCAAAGCAACACCACCUUCAGAGACAGAUUGUGGAGGUUAAGGCAAUCAUUGCCGUUGAUGAGAACGACAAGGAUGGGGCAACCGGAAAGCCUAGAUUGCAGAAGCCAUUGGAGAAGGUUACCGUUGCGAAGAAAGAACCUGUGCAGGUUGGCCUUUCAGAGAGGAAGGCAUCUGAUGAAAAUACCGUCGCUGUGGUAGCUGGCAACCCACCAAAGGUCUCAAGGCCAGUACCUGAGAAGCAUAUUCUUACAAAUGGUGUCGCCAAUGGUUGUUAAACCAGCAACGGUAGCAAGA
This 2148-nucleotide unclassified non-coding RNA is filed under the name Hevea brasiliensis (rubber tree). The record is from RNAcentral. Lineage: Eukaryota; Viridiplantae; Streptophyta; Magnoliopsida; Malpighiales; Euphorbiaceae.